RNAcentral lists this ribosomal RNA (274 nucleotides) under uncultured bacterium. RNAcentral's name for it is "partial 16S ribosomal RNA". It matches the Rfam family "Bacterial small subunit ribosomal RNA", at positions 523 to 796 of the family's 1533-position model. The record is from RNAcentral.
AUACGGAGGGUCCGAGCGUUAUCCGGAAUCAUUGGGUUUAAAGGGUCCGUAGGCGGGAAUCUAAGUCAGUGGUGAAAUCUUGCAGCUCAACUGUAAAAUUGCCAUUGAUACUGGAUUUCUUGAAUUAGUGUGAAGUGGUUAGAAUGUGUAGUGUAGCGGUGAAAUGCAUAGAUAUUAAACAGAAUACCAAUUGCGAAGGCAGAUCACUAACACUAUAUUGACGCUGAGGGACGAAAGCGUGGGGAGCGAACAGGAUUAGAAACCCGAGUAGUCC